CCUACGGGUGGCAGCAGUGAGGAAUAUUGGUCAAUGGACGCAAGACUGAACCAGCCAAGCCGCGUGCGGGAAGAAGGCUCUGUGUAUCGUAAACUUCUUUUGUCAGGGGACAAAGGCGGAGACGCGUCUCUGGAUGAGCGUACCUGACGAAAAAGCAUCGGCUAACUCCGUGCCAGCAGCCGCGGUAAUACGGAGGAUGCGAGCGUUAUCCGGAUUUAUUGGGUUUAAAGGGUGCGCAGGCGGUCUGAUAAGUUAGCGGUGAAAGCCCGGGGCUCAACCCCGGCCUUGCCGUUGAAACUGGCAGGCUCGAGUUGGGGAGAGGUAUGCGGAAUGCGCGGUGUAGCGGUGAAAUGCUUAGAUAUCGCACAGAACACCGAUUGCGAAGGCAGCAUGCC
Molecule: ribosomal RNA, 395 nt
Filed under: uncultured bacterium
Lineage: Bacteria
Description: partial 16S ribosomal RNA
Rfam family: Bacterial small subunit ribosomal RNA
Source: RNAcentral